UUUCCGUUGGUGAACCUGCGGAAGGAUCAUUACUGAGUGAGGGCCCUCUGGGUCCAACCUCCCACCCGUGUUUAUUGUACCUUGUUGCUUCGGUGAGCCCGCCUCACCGCCGCCGGGAGGCAUCUGCCCCCGGGUCCGCCCUCGCCGAAGACACCAUUGAACUCUGUCUGAAGUUUGCAGUCUGAGCAAAAACUAAAUAAGUUAAAACUUUCAACAACGGAUCUCUUGGUUCCG
RNAcentral lists this unclassified non-coding RNA (234 nucleotides) under plant metagenome. Its description in RNAcentral is "partial contains small subunit ribosomal RNA, internal transcribed spacer 1, and 5.8S ribosomal RNA". The record is from RNAcentral.